AUCGGUGUGUUUGAGUCUGACAAGUUCAGUAAUUGGGUAUCUUUUGCAGCAUGUCCAACCCCAUUGCCUUCAGAAGAGCUGUAGCAGUGUGUGGAAGCAAUGAAUGAAAUGUUGAUUCAGGAACUUCAUUUAGAGGUUGUGAAUCUUUUGACAUCUCUGCGUUCCGGAUUUCAGUUGGAGUCUGAGGUAUAGUACCACAUGCUUUAAGAAACUUCGCCUGUACGGUUUUUGUUGUUGUGAGGUCCAUAUUGUAAAAGAGCAUGACACGUUAAAACACAUGAGCAACUCAGGUUUAGGCUACUUGCAUCAAAUACAUGGAUUGUGUUUACUAUUAAAA
Molecule: long non-coding RNA, 337 nt
Organism: Erigeron canadensis
Lineage: Eukaryota; Viridiplantae; Streptophyta; Magnoliopsida; Asterales; Asteraceae
Exons: 2
Source: RefSeq, a predicted model, not a curated record